RNAcentral lists this small RNA (551 nucleotides) under Pongo abelii (Sumatran orangutan). RNAcentral describes it as "retained intron". Lineage: Eukaryota; Metazoa; Chordata; Mammalia; Primates; Hominidae. The record is from RNAcentral.
AUGAUGGACAGUGAAACUGGUCGAUCCAAGGGAUAUGGAUUUAUUACAUUUUCUGACUCAGAAUGUGCCAAAAAGGCUUUGGAACAACUUAAUGGAUUUGAACUAGCAGGAAGACCAAUGAAAGUUGGUCAUGUUACUGAACGUACUGAUGCUUCGAGUGCUAGUUCAUUUUUGGACAGUGAUGAACUGGAAAGGACUGGAAUUGAUUUGGGAACAACUGGUCGUCUUCAGUUAAUGGCAAGACUUGCAGAGGGUACAGGUUUGCAGAUUCCACCAGCAGCACAGCAAGCUCUACAGAUGAGUGGCUCUUUGGCAUUUGGUGCUGUGGCAGAUUUGCAAACAAGACUUUCCCAGCAGACUGAAGGUGAGUUGAAGUGUUCAUAUUUUUUAUUUUUGUCUUUGAAAUAGAAUUAAAUGUAGUAAGACAGUUUUCUAUAUUUAUUGUCAUAUUUUUAUACCAGUAAUUUGGACCGAAUUUUGACACAGUGACACAUAGUGGUAUAUUCAUAGUAAUCUGUAUUUCAGAAGACCUAACCCAAAUUAAUGGACUU